Molecule: ribosomal RNA, 239 nt
Filed under: Salmonella enterica subsp. enterica serovar Enteritidis
Lineage: Bacteria; Pseudomonadati; Pseudomonadota; Gammaproteobacteria; Enterobacterales; Enterobacteriaceae
Description: partial 16S ribosomal RNA
Rfam family: Bacterial small subunit ribosomal RNA
Source: RNAcentral
GCUGACGAGUGGCGGACGGGUGAGUAAUGUCUGGGAAACUGCCUGAUGGAGGGGGAUAACUACUGGAAACGGUGGCUAAUACCGCAUAACGUCGCAAGACCAAAGAGGGGGACCUUCGGGCCUCUUGCCAUCAGAUGUGCCCAGAUGGGAUUAGCUUGUUGGUGAGGUAACGGCUCACCAAGGCGACGAUCCCUAGCUGGUCUGAGAGGAUGACCAGCCACACUGGAACUGAGACACGG